CCUACGGGAGGCAGCAGUGAGGAAUAUUGGUCAAUGGUCGCGAGCCUGAACCAGCCAAGCCGCGUGAGGGAAGACGGUCCUAUGGAUUGUAAACCUCUUUUGUCGGGGAGCAAAAGCCGCCACGCGUCGCCGUCCGAGAGUACCCGAAGAAAAAGCAUCGGCUAACUCCGUGCCAGCAGCCGCGGUAAUACGGAGGAUGCGAGCGUUAUCCGGAUUUAUUGGGUUUAAAGGGUGCGCAGGCGGACGAUCAAGUCAGCGGUAAAAUGGCGGGGCUCAACCCCGUCGAGCCGUUGAAACUGGCUGUCUUGAGUGAGCGAGAAGUAUGCGGAAUGCGCGGUGUAGCGGUGAAAUGCAUAGAUAUCGCGCAGAACUCCGAUUGCGAAGGCAGCAUGCCGGCGCUACACUGACGCUGAGGCACGAAAGCGUGGGUAUCGAACAGGAUUAGAUACCCUGGUAGUC
RNAcentral lists this ribosomal RNA (459 nucleotides) under uncultured bacterium. Its description in RNAcentral is "partial 16S ribosomal RNA". It matches the Rfam family "Bacterial small subunit ribosomal RNA", at positions 338 to 795 of the family's 1533-position model. The record is from RNAcentral.